GAUGAACGCUGGCGGCGUGCUUAACACAUGCAAGUCGAACGAUGAAGCCCAGCUUGCUGGGUGGAUUAGUGGCGAACGGGUGAGUAACACGUGAGUAACCUGCCCUUGACUCUGGGAUAAGCCCGGGAAACUGGGUUUAAUACCGGAUAGGAGCGCCUGUCGCAUGACGGGUGUUGGAAAGAUUUUUCGGUCAUGGAUGGACUCGCGGCCUAUCAGCUUGUUGGUGAGGUAAUGGCUCACCAAGGCGACGACGGGUAGCCGGCCUGAGAGGGUGACCGGCCACACUGGGACUGAGACACGGCCCAGACUCCUACGGGAGGCAGCAGUGGGGAAUAUUGCACAAUGGGCGGAAGCCUGAUGCAGCGACGCCGCGUGAGGGAUGACGGCCUUCGGGUUGUAAACCUCUUUCAGUAGGGAAGAAGCGAAAGUGACGGUACCUGCAGAAGAAGCACCGGCUAACUACGUG
This 466-nucleotide ribosomal RNA is filed under the name uncultured bacterium. RNAcentral describes it as "partial 16S ribosomal RNA". It matches the Rfam family "Bacterial small subunit ribosomal RNA", at positions 28 to 507 of the family's 1533-position model. The record is from RNAcentral.